Molecule: long non-coding RNA, 3999 nt
Filed under: Sus scrofa (pig)
Lineage: Eukaryota; Metazoa; Chordata; Mammalia; Artiodactyla; Suidae
Description: lncRNA (ENSSSCG00050071624.1)
Source: RNAcentral
ACCGAACCUGUGUAGACUGAGAUCCAGAUGCGGUGACACCUUUCCUCUGCUUAGAAAGCAAAGGUAGAAGGUUUGGUUUGAGAAGAAGGGGAGGGAAGGGACGGGGCUUAAAGCAACACGAUGGAUUUCCGAGACGGUGUUAAAAUGGGGACGCACGAUAGGAAAUGCUUGCGGUUCCUUGGUGAACUUCCAGUCGCGUCGUGAGCUUUUUAGAAGAAUGAGGAAUUGAUAUUCCCCUGUACACCACGGAGCUCACAGACGCCUGCACGUCGAUGCCAUCUUUGCAGCGACCAUAACGAAGGCCACCGCCACUGCCUGUGAAGCCCUGAGGCCAGGGCAGCUGAUGUUUCCCAGCGCCUGAGCCACAUGACCAAAUGCGACAGAGCCGCCUCGUCGGUUCAUUAGGGAAGAAGGCGCAGCUUACACACAAGAGGCCUCAAAAUCAAAGGUCGCCGGGGUCAGACAAGGCUAAAAACCCUGUCCAGCGGUUCUCUCAACAGACUGGCAGCAUCACUCUCUGGAAGAAUGCGAGUCACUGCGUUUGUCUCUUUUCGCAGAGAAAUGAAUGGACCCCCAAAUUCGAGCUGCUUGGCAUCCCAACGGUCACAGAGGCAUUUGGACGGUGUGGAUACAGCUUCACGAUGUGCUCCUUGUAGAAUUUGUGGCUUAGAUUUGGAGGGACGUUUUUCCCUAUCUAGUUUUUAUUGCGAUGUCGUCGACGGGCAAGGCCGUGUUAGCUUUAGGGUUUCAGGUGUGCAGCACAGUGAUUCGCUAUACCUAUGUGUGUGUCUAUUCUUCUUCAGAUUCUUUUCCCUUAUCCGUUAGUACCAAGUGUUCUCGGAGGUUGUUUUCUUCACCCUCAACUCCGUCUCUGUCACCAUCAGCUCUGUUUCCCGCGGGCUUCUGUGGACCCAAGCGGUGCCAGCUUGCGGACAGUGACGUGGCCGUCAGGGGGUUGGCUUCUCCGACGCCCUCUCCUGGAUCCCAGCACAGCCCGUGUGGCUCAGGUAACAGGAGCAGGCCCUUUGGGAGAAGUUACUUGCAGAAAAACCUCAAGUGACUCGAGGCGGUAGUCUCGGUUCUUCCCAAUUCCUCCGCCCCACCCCCAAGGUCGUGACUUGGCCUUCCUGCGCAGGGAGCGGGCUCUGGGCUCUUGUCACCUCCACACCAGCAAGACUGGUCUCUGGACGAGACAACGCCUCCUUCUCAUGGUGCAGGGGGCCUAGGAGAUGGAAUAUUGUCCCGAGUGACAGAGAGGGCACCCAGGGAGCUAAUCGUCUGGCUAGAAAUGGUUGAGAGCAGCUGGUGCUCAUCUGUGGGCCAGACGCCGCAGGGCAGCAUUCUCAGCCUGACCUUGACUGUGGACAUUUGGGUGGAUCAGUUCUGCCUCCGUGUCCCGGGCCAUCUGGCAUGGUGAGCGGCAUUCCCGGCCUCCACCCACCCAAUGCCAGGACCAGCCCUCCCCCUCCCAGUUGUGACAACCAGAAAUGCCUCCAGAAGCUUCUGGAUGUCCCUGGGGAUGGGGGGCACUCAACCCAGCCCCGCACCAGGGCUCUAAGCGUGGGCCGGCAUGGGUCGCCCUCUAGUCUCCCUCCAGUGCGAGGCCUCGCCCCUUCUCCUUGUCCUGGAGACAGGCCAGGCCCUCUGCUGGGCCCCCGCACCUGUUCUCCCUGCUCUCCCUCCAGCCAGUGCCACCCCCCAUCCUGCAGACAGCGCCCCCCCACACCAGCUCGCAAGCCCAGGACUGUCCCUCCCAGAGCCAGGCUCAGUGUGCGCGCAGCAGAGACCCGUCACUUGGACUUGGUGGAAGGUUCUGGGGAGCUUGUGGGUUGUACUUGGAGAGCGAAAUUCCUCCGAAGGUCAAAGGAAGUGAGAAAGCAGGUCAUUCGUGGGCUCCUGCCAUCAGUUUGUGCAGGACGGAGCCUGUCCCACGAGGCUGGGGACAGAGAUGAGGAGGCUCCCGGUUCGAGGAAGCUGCAGGGACCUCUGGGCUUUUCUAGAGUCAUUGCAUCAUUUCUCUCAAUCUUCUUGGAAGGAACAGAGCAUCUGGAGCUGCUGCUCCGGCCCCACGUGGGGGCUCCCAGGCAUCCUUGCUGGGUGGCCUCGGUGGAGGCUGUGCUUCUGGGAGCGUGGGGCCCAGGAGGAGGCCGGCCCCAGUCUGACCCCAGCCCAGCUGCCCCCAGAAGCCCUCCCAGGACAGGAUGGAGCCUCACCCAUGUGGAGGACAGACCCGUGGUUACCGGAGGGGGUGUACAAACUGCUGGGGGUCAGACGGGCCCAAGGACGUGUCCUACAACACGGAAGAGAGCCAGUAUUUUGUGAUAACUGUAAAUGGGAAGCAACCUUUCAAAAUUGUCUAAAAUUUUUUUUUAAAAGGAACUGAGUUCCCCAGGGGAGCCCCGAUUCACAGCCAACCCCGGGUAGGUGCUCUGGUCUCCAGGGCGGGGCCCUCUUGCCUCCCUUCCUGUCCUCAGUGAAGCUGCACCUGCGCGUGUGUUUUGCAGACGAGAGUUAAGGAGGGGACGCUCGUGUAGCUCAGAGCUCUUCCUUUUCAAGUGACCAGGGAGCCCAGCUUGGCUGCUUAAUGCUGGCCCAGUCACUCCAGAUUCUAAAUGUUCCUUUGAAAACACAGUAGUGAGGUCAUCCAUUAAUUUCUCAGUAUUCUAAGACGAUGGAGUGCCUCUCAGGUCCUCAGUAAAAAUCGCUCAGAAGAGGUGGACUUGUGUGCCCAUGGCCCACGCCACCCGCGAGCCGCGCCCACGCUCAUGCCUGGUCAUGUCCAGCUGGCCCGAGCCCCCUGGCUUUUUUUCCUCAGUGGCCUUAGGAGGCCUUGAUGAAAUCCUGAGAAGCAGCGAGGGAGAGCCCUGAUGGUACAGAAAGUGGCAUCCUCAAACAGCGUGGAGACAGCAGCCUUUGAAAACAAACUGAGAAAGAUAAACAAGAACACAAAUCUCCCAGAGCAGGAAAGAAGACGUUGACAUUUUAGAGCCAAUGUGGUAUCAGAAAUAGAUUUUUCAUCUCUAUUUUUCACGUGCCCUUCAGUCUAUAGAUCACAGUUCGGUAAAGCCUGCUCUUCCAUGUCGGUAAAUAAAAGAAUACUAUUACAAGGCGUAAUCAAAGAAAUAAGAAAUAUAAUCGCCACGGAGGAACCCGACUGCUACUCUGGGCCUCGUCUCAGGAAAGGAACAGAUCUCAAGGCAGGAAGAAUUCACAGUUUCUCUCCCUGGUUUGUUAGGUCUCUUGCUGACAUAAAUAGAAACCCAGCUUCUGUGUCCGUGGGACCCGGCACUGCACAAAUCGCAGAGCACAGCGUGCUUUCUGCUCUGAUGCUGCAGAAUAAAUAUGCUGGGUUCUGGAACUCUCAGCCAGAACGCCCUCUCGGGCCGCCAGGGACCCGCCGUGACCAGCACAUGCCCGAGGGGCACUCAGUAUUCUCAGAAUACUGAGAAACCAAGUCUCGGGGAAGAAGGGAGGGGUGGAGUGACAGGGUGGCCGUGCACCGGGGAGUGGCCGCCUUGGGAAACGAGUCCAUGUGGAAUGCACACUAGCAGAAAACACCUGCUUGGCGUCACGCUCUGGAACGGCUGCUGGAUCCCUGGUUUCUAGAACAUUCCCCAGAUAUUACCAUCGGAAGCUACACUUCUGCCUGUGACGGCCUAGAUGCGUCAGGAGCUGCAUUCCGAUUAGUUUCUUUCUUUUACUUUCUUUUUAAAUUUUUUUUUUCUCUUUUUAGGGCACACUCAUGGCAUGUGGAAGUUCCCAGGCUACAGGUCAGUUCAGAGCUGCAGCUGCCCGCCUACACCACAGCCACAGCAACGCCAAUUCCAAGCUGCAUCUGCGACCUACACCACAGCUCGAGGCAACAUCGGAUCCCUAACCCACUGAGUGAGGCCGGGGAUGGAACCUGCAUCCUCAUAGAUACUGGUCUGGUUUAUUACCACUGAGCCACAUCGGGAACUCCCAGUUUCUUUUUUUAAUAACUUUUGUUGGAGUGUGGUU